This 100-nucleotide non-coding RNA is filed under the name Bdellovibrionales bacterium. RNAcentral's name for it is "c-di-GMP sequence". It matches the Rfam family "c-di-GMP-I riboswitch aptamer". From Rfam's summary of the family: GEMM was predicted in a large-scale screen for bacterial structured RNA regulatory elements. Lineage: Bacteria; Pseudomonadati; Bdellovibrionota; Bdellovibrionia; Bdellovibrionales. The record is from RNAcentral.
CGUCGUUAAGGGCGACCACUUUCGAAAGUAGUGGAAGCAAAGCCCAGCUCUAAGUGCUUCAAAAAUAUUUUUAGAGGCAUAUGGGUUGUGGGUUGCCGAA